Molecule: RNA transcript, 2976 nt
Organism: Felis catus (domestic cat)
Lineage: Eukaryota; Metazoa; Chordata; Mammalia; Carnivora; Felidae
Exons: 2
Source: RefSeq, a predicted model, not a curated record
CAAUCCGCGGGUGCUGGCUCUGCGGAUUGGGCCGGGAGAUGCCGAGGGCCUCGGCGGGGUCCGUCCGCACUCGGCCAGUGCCCAGGGAGCUCGGGCCCUAGCGAGGAGAGGCGCGCCAAGCCUCCUCGCGGCUUUCAGGUCUUCCCGCCCGGGCGCCGCCUGCGGACGCAGUGCCAGAGACCCGCCGACGGGGCGCGGCGUCCGCUCCCGCACCUGCCUUGCUCCCACAAGGCCGGAUAGCCGGCGCGAGCAAUUCACUAAGAUCUGACGGAGGGAUGGAGGAAGACGCUUCUCUCGCACGGCCCGGAAUCCUGCAACAGCCGCGGAAGGGGCUGCGCCGGGGGAUCCCGGCGGCCGGAUCCUGCCAGGUGAACGGCCCAGGGGCCCGGAGGCAGGCAGCGCUUCCCGGGCGCGAUUCAGCUGGCCCCGUGUUGCCGUGGGCUGCCCCGAACCGGGUCCCGCGGUGCCCUUUUCCUGGCGGGGCCCUGAAAUACACAUCGGAUUCCCGCCCCGCGCGAGGACCGAGGAACUGAGCCCGCUGCAGCCUUCUCCUGUGGGCCUUUCGUGCGCAAGGCGGGAAAAGGAAGCCUGGAUGCGUUCAUCAGUACAUCCCUAUACAGCUGCACGCCUCACCUGUUAGCGCUACUCCUAGCCCCAUCUACAUGCCCGUGGACUCCAGGUCUCUCUAAUCCCGUUACACUCCUCCAUCACUUCUCUCCAAUCAACCGUGUAUCCCCUCCGGUUCUCUUUUACCCACUACUCUCUCACACUCACCUGUUACAUAUAUUAGUUCAGAUCCUGCACAUUUUGGUGGAAAACAUGUCACUCUGAUGCCUGCACUUUAAGCCUCCUUACACACUUGGGCACUCAGCAGUCUCGUGACACAGAGUACCUUUUGAGUCCGCGUCUGCAAAUCUGACUUCUAGAAGCCUGUUGAUUCUCUGAUGUCUUUGGCCUGGGGUUAGGGUGACUGGGCUGCCACCUGGAUAUUCCCUUGGUGAUGUUGCUGCUCAGAGUUCUUUAAGAAGCUCAGGUACAGAACAUACCCUCAUGCACUUUAUUUAAAAAUUUUUUAAUGUUUAUUCAUUUUUGAGAGAGAGAGAGAGAGAGAGAGAGAGAGAGAGAGAGAGAAGAAAAACAUGAGCAGGGGAGGGGCAGAGAGAGAGGGAGACACAGAAUCCGAAGCAGGCUCCAGGCUGUCAGUACAGAGCCUGACUUGGGGCUCAAACCCACAAACUGAGAUCAUGACCUGAGCUGAAGUCAGAGGCUUAACUGGCUGAGCCACCCAGGCGUCACUCUGUCACAUACUUUAACACACACAGGCCACUCACACAGGCUUCCUCUCUGUUUGGUAGCUGAGCUCCCUAUCACUUUGACAGGCUGCAGCCUGGUGCUUGGUUCCUCUGCACACCCACACAGUGCCCCCAGGCCAGCCAUAUUAUUCUGCCAGGUUGGGAUUAGCAGUCACUUACCCAAAUCUGUGCUUGGGAGAAAGAGUGAGAGAAGAGGGAAGUGGAGAGAGAAGGAGAGGGAGAGAGGAAGAGAGGCCACUACCUAUUCUGGGGAAUGGCUGUUUGAUGAGAGCUGUUUCCAGUUGGUAUCUUAGUGGAUCCUACCCCCCUCAUACCAUGGGUGGUUGGGCUGGGAGGCAGUAGGCUGGAGUUCUGGGCUUCUCCUUACCUCACUGAUGUUGGGCCUCAAGUUCACUAACACCUCUUUGUCCCGAGGAGAGUGUGCCCUACCCUUUACCAGGCAGACUGUGGGGGCUGUUGUAGCCAUUUCUCCUGGCUGAGCCUAACUUAGGGAAAAAAGGCAGAGGGGGCUGGUUCAUGAGUCCUGCAGGACCUUCUCUCUCCAAAGACUUCUGGAGUGCUCCCAGAGAGAGAAUUCUAGGGUGGCAGGAGCUGCUGACCUGCUUCCUUUGGUAUCCCAUGGCCAUAAGCCAUUUUGUUCAGCCCUGAACAGUGAGUGCCUUGCCACCAGCGCUCCUGCCCCAUGCUUGAGAGUGUGACGUGUUGUUGUUUAAAGUUGCCUUGUUGCCUUUCUCCACACCCAGACUGUAAGUCUGGAAGGGUAGAGACUCUGUCCUUCAGUUCUCACUCAGUGCUUCCCACCAGGAUUGGUUUAAUGCACUCUAAUGGCAUUGGAGAAUGCCUCCACUUCAUGGAUAGAGUUAAGAGAUGCCACUUUCCUUGUAGUGAAGCUGAAAUUUCCAAGAAAGGGACUGGAGGUAGGGAAGAGUGGCUGGACCAUGGGGGGCCAGCUCAGGAUCCAAGAGUCCUCUGCCAUCUGGGGUUAUCUGUUCAUUAUAGCUGCACAGCCAUGUUGCUGGACCUUAGGCUAAGACACAGGACACCUUCCUGGUUCCCUGAUCAUGGUGAGGACCUGUGUGAAACAUUUAAACUAAACUUUACGAGUAAUAGAAUGGCUUUGCAUCUGCAGCAGCCAGCUAAAUGUAAGGCCUGCUGUCUGGAGUCCCAAGUAGGCCCAAGAGGGGGUGGCUGAAAGGGCCCUUCCUCUUGGUCCUCAUUCCCUGCUCAAGUGUUUUUUCUACAAAUGGGUGCCGUGUAAGGAGCCUUUGUGCAGGAGGGCAGUUUUAGAUUCCUAUCUUUGAUGAAGUUUGGAAGAAGGGAGAGAGAAGGGCUGAGUUUUGUGUUUUGCAUUCUGAAGAUUUCCCUCAUGCUAAGUUGGGGUGUGUGUGUGUGUGUGUGUGUGUGUGUGUGUGUGUGUGUAUGCUGUAUAACUUGCAUAUGUAAACAAUAAGCAUCUCAAGUAUACAGUGUGAUUAUUUUUAUCUACAGUGCACCAUGUAACCACCACCCUGAUCAAGAUAUGGAAUGUUAACAUUUUUGUCACCUCAGAAGGUUUCCUUAUAUUUUUUCCUCUUCAAUACCUGCUCCCAAAAGAUAACUGUAUUCUGAUUCCUACCACCAUAGAUUAACUUUGCCUGCAUAUAAAUGGGGCAGGCAACAUGUA